CCUACGGGUGGCUGCAGUGAGGAAUAUUGGUCAAUGGACGCAAGUCUGAACCAGCCAUGCCGCGUGAAGGACGAAGGCCUUCUGGGUUGUAAACUUCUUUUAUUGGGGAAGAAAAUUACGGUUUCUACUGUAACCGACGGUACCCAAGGAAUCAGCACCGGCUAACUCCGUGCCAGCAGCCGCGGUAAUACGGAGGGUGCAAGCGUUAUCCGGAUUCACUGGGUUUAAAGGGUGUGUAGGCGGGUAUUUAAGUCAGUGGUGAAAUCUCCAGGCUC
RNAcentral lists this ribosomal RNA (275 nucleotides) under uncultured bacterium. RNAcentral's name for it is "partial 16S ribosomal RNA". It matches the Rfam family "Bacterial small subunit ribosomal RNA", at positions 338 to 610 of the family's 1533-position model. The record is from RNAcentral.